GCUGAUGUAGCUCAGUUGGUUAGAGCAUUCGGCUCAUAUCCGAGAGGUCGUGGGUUCAAGUCCCUCCAUCAGCA
Molecule: transfer RNA, 74 nt
Organism: Borrelia duttonii CR2A
Lineage: Bacteria; Pseudomonadati; Spirochaetota; Spirochaetia; Spirochaetales; Borreliaceae
Rfam family: tRNA
About the family: Transfer RNA (tRNA) molecules are approximately 80 nucleotides in length.
Source: Rfam